AAACUAGCCUACUGAGGGUAAUAGACCAUGGGGAAAAAAGCUGAGUCACUUCAAUUGGAAGUCAGCCAACCCCAGAAACAGAGCUGCUUAGCUGAUGUUCAAUUGAUUACAGGCACAUGGGGAGGCCCAGCCAGUCAAACCCAGAACAGCCCGGCUGAGCUCAGCCUAAUUCUGUGACUUUCAGGAUGAGUAACAAAAUAAAUGAUUCUUAUUUUAAGUCAAAAUUUUGGAGAGCAAUCUUCCUCUUGUCAAUGUCUAUCUCAGUGCUAUUUCAGACUCCUUUCGUACUGUCAAAUCUCACUCAACUUUUAGCAUCUAUUUCAAUUGGCAUCUCUUCCAAGAAGAUUUUUCUAAUUUCCUCAAGUGAUGUGUUAUCUCCCCUAUAAUUGAACCCCAUUUUGAUAUUUGUGUCCCUUUUUAGCUUUUUUUUUAACUUGUUUUCUAUUAGAGGUGUUAGUGUCCUACUCAUCUUGCUUUUCCUACAGCUAGUAAGUGGACAUCCAGGAGGUACAAGGAUAUAUCCCAGACCUGGCCAGUCAUGCUACCAUUUCCCAUAAUAAUCUCCUUAAGAAAUGAAGAGCUAUAAGAAUGGAAUCGAGACUAGGAGAGGAACAUCCAAAGGAGAGAAAAUGACUGCAGUGGGAGAGAACAAGAGCUACGAUCAAAAAGAGGAGAGACAAGCAGCACUGAGGAAGACAGAAGGGUAAGAAGAGAUGAUGUCAGAAGUGGGAUCCAAAGAAAAGCUUCCAGUGACCCCCAGGAGCACUGAGUGACCAAGCAAGGUACCUGCUGGGCCCAUUCCCUCAAUAGAAUGACACCACUGUGUGGUCAAGAAUGGAGAAACCCAAG
Molecule: long non-coding RNA, 849 nt
Filed under: Homo sapiens (human)
Lineage: Eukaryota; Metazoa; Chordata; Mammalia; Primates; Hominidae
Description: HSALNT0192079
Source: RNAcentral